UACGGAGGGGGCUAGCGUUGUUCGGAAUUACUGGGCGUAAAGCGCACGUAGGCGGCUUUGUAAGUUAGAGGUGAAAGCCCGGGGCUCAACUCCGGAAUUGCCUUUAAGACUGCAUCGCUUGAAUCCGGGAGAGGUGAGUGGAAUUCCGAGUGUAGAGGUGAAAUUCGUAGAUAUUCGGAAGAACACCAGUGGCGAAGGCGGCUCACUGGACCGGGUAUUGACGCUGAGGUGCGAAAGCGUGGGGAGCAAACAGG
RNAcentral lists this ribosomal RNA (254 nucleotides) under uncultured bacterium. Its description in RNAcentral is "partial 16S ribosomal RNA". It matches the Rfam family "Bacterial small subunit ribosomal RNA", at positions 524 to 776 of the family's 1533-position model. The record is from RNAcentral.